CCUACGGGGGGCAGCAGUGAGGAAUAUUGGUCAAUGGCCGGGAGGCUGAACCAGCCAAGUCGCGUGCGGGAAGACGGCCCUACGGGUUGUAAACCUCUUUUGUCAGGGAGCAAGGUGCGGGUCGGGACCUGCUGUGAGAGUACCUGAAGAAAAAGCAUCGGCUAACUCCGUGCCAGCAGCCGCGGUAAUACGGAGGAUGCGAGCGUUAUCCGGAUUUAUUGGGUUUAAAGGGUGCGCAGGCGGAGGCACAAGUCAGCGGUAAAAUCGCGGGGCUCAACCCCGCUCCGCCGUUGAAACUGUGUCCCUUGAGUGCGCGAAGGGUAGGCGGAAUGCGUGGUGUAGCGGUGAAAUGCAUAGAUAUCACGCAGAACUCCGAUUGCGAAGGCAGCCUUCCGGCGCCCUACUGACGCUGAGGCACGAAAGUGCGGGGAUCGAACAGGAUUAGAUACCCUUGUAGUC
This 459-nucleotide ribosomal RNA is filed under the name uncultured bacterium. Its description in RNAcentral is "partial 16S ribosomal RNA". It matches the Rfam family "Bacterial small subunit ribosomal RNA", at positions 338 to 795 of the family's 1533-position model. The record is from RNAcentral.